This 254-nucleotide ribosomal RNA is filed under the name uncultured bacterium. Its description in RNAcentral is "partial 16S ribosomal RNA". It matches the Rfam family "Bacterial small subunit ribosomal RNA", at positions 524 to 776 of the family's 1533-position model. The record is from RNAcentral.
CACGUAGGGGGCAAGCGUUGUCCGGAUUUAUUGGGCGUAAAGAGCUCGUAGGCGGCUCAGUAAGUCAGGUGUGAAACCUCCAGGCUCAACCUGGAGACGCCACCUGAUACUGCUGUGGCUAGAGUCCGGUAGGGGAGCGUGGAAUUCCUGGUGUAGCGGUGAAAUGCGCAGAUAUCAGGAGGAACACCAGCGGCGAAGGCGGCGCUCUGGGCCGGUACUGACACUGAGGAGCGAAAGCGUGGGUAGCAAACAGG